RNAcentral lists this ribosomal RNA (301 nucleotides) under uncultured bacterium. RNAcentral describes it as "partial 16S ribosomal RNA". It matches the Rfam family "Bacterial small subunit ribosomal RNA", at positions 509 to 807 of the family's 1533-position model. The record is from RNAcentral.
CAGCCGCCGCGGUAAUACAGAGGGUGCGAGCGUUAAUCGGAUUUACUGGGCGUAAAGCGUGCGUAGGCGGCUUCUUAAGUCGGAUGUGAAAUCCCUGAGCUUAACUUAGGAAUUGCAUUCGAUACUGGGAAGCUAGAGUAUGGGAGAGGAUGGUAGAAUUCCAGGUGUAGCGGUGAAAUGCGUAGAGAUCUGGAGGAAUACCGAUGGCGAAGGCAGCCAUCUGGCCUAAUACUGACGCUGAGGUACGAAAGCAUGGGGAGCAAACAGGAUUAGAUACCCCGGUAGUCCCUGUCUAUUAUAC